GUUUAUCCCGCUCCUGAGGCUGGGGAGGUACCCCCAGGCGCAGGCACACAGUAUAGUGGGGUCAAGCAUCUAGCUGACCUAAUUAAAAGCUCAUUACACUAGCCCAUCCCCAUUAACAGGCUGACCCACGUGCAAAUCCAUUAACGCAGGAUUCUUCCCUGCUUCCCAAAUCAGGAAUCCCAGCCGCAGCCCCGGGGCCUGGAAACUCCGGCCAGUUUAUUAAAGUGCCUUCCCCGCCUGUGACCAUCAGGCAAAGGGAGAAUCUUGCUGGGAAUCUCGCUUCUAGCCAAUGAGGAAUUUUCAGAAAAGCGAAAUGGAAUGCAUCAUUUUGACAUCUCUGCAGAUCUGUAUUCCGAAAGGUACUCAGAUAUCCACGAAGUCCUCCUCAUCUCACACCAUCGUUUCUCUCACUGGGCACAAUCCAGCUUUAAAGAAUUCAACACUUACUGGUCUUCAGAGGACUGUCAGCAAUGACAGCAACCAGGGAUGCUGACAUGUCUUGUUGUUUACAAAGGAUGAGCACAAGGCCUUUUGGAUAACCUGAUAAGCCCUGCAACUCCUCUCUCCCUGUUCCUCACCUCUCUGGACCAGCUGCCUUUGUGUGGUGGCAAAACUGAGAUUUUGGGAUCCAUGCAGCUCUAUGGAAUAUAUUAUGGGUGAAUUUUGAACCCAGGUCUAUGUGCUUCCAGGUCAUUUGUAGGAAGAACAUACUGAAUUAUUCAGGAGAAAUAGAAAAUUAUGCCUACAACUUACUCUUAAA
RNAcentral lists this long non-coding RNA (760 nucleotides) under Homo sapiens (human). Its description in RNAcentral is "HSALNT0377083". The record is from RNAcentral. Lineage: Eukaryota; Metazoa; Chordata; Mammalia; Primates; Hominidae.